RNAcentral lists this ribosomal RNA (596 nucleotides) under Citrobacter freundii. RNAcentral describes it as "bacterial SSU rRNA". It matches the Rfam family "Bacterial small subunit ribosomal RNA", at positions 915 to 1509 of the family's 1533-position model. The record is from RNAcentral. Lineage: Bacteria; Pseudomonadati; Pseudomonadota; Gammaproteobacteria; Enterobacterales; Enterobacteriaceae.
GGGGGCCCGCACCAAGCGGUGGAGCAUGUGGUUUAAUUCGAUGCAACGCGAAGAACCUUACCUUACUCUUGACAUCCAGAGAACUUAGCAGAGAUGCUUUGGUGCCUUCGGGAACUCUGAGACAGGUGCUGCAUGGCUGUCGUCAGCUCGUGUUGUGAAAUGUUGGGUUAAGUCCCGCAACGAGCGCAACCCUUAUCCUUUGUUGCCAGCGAUUCGGUCGGGAACUCAAAGGAGACUGCCAGUGAUAAACUGGAGGAAGGUGGGGAUGACGUCAAGUCAUCAUGGCCCUUACGAGUAGGGCUACACACGUGCUACAAUGGCAUAUACAAAGAGAAGCGACCUCGCGAGAGCAAGCGGACCUCAUAAAGUAUGUCGUAGUCCGGAUUGGAGUCUGCAACUCGACUCCAUGAAGUCGGAAUCGCUAGUAAUCGUGGAUCAGAAUGCCACGGUGAAUACGUUCCCGGGCCUUGUACACACCGCCCGUCACACCAUGGGAGUGGGUUGCAAAAGAAGUAGGUAGCUUAACCUUCGGGAGGGCGCUUACCACUUUGUGAUUCAUGACUGGGGUGAAGUCGUAACAAGGUAGCCGUAAAGCC